Molecule: ribosomal RNA, 630 nt
Filed under: Triticum aestivum (bread wheat)
Lineage: Eukaryota; Viridiplantae; Streptophyta; Magnoliopsida; Poales; Poaceae
Description: partial small subunit ribosomal RNA
Source: RNAcentral
AUGAAUGUUGAUAAAAGGGUUGCCAAGGGGUUUGCUAAUUGGUUUAAGAAUCAUAUUGGAAAGUUGCAUGAGGAGAAGAAGGUCAGUGAUGAUCUAUUUGCUUUGGCAUGCUUACCGGAUAAGCGAGUGAGAGUGUAUUCAGCAUGCAUUGCUGACGGUGUCCGGUACCACACUGUUGACCGCGAGGAAAAAAGGAAGAGACGGAAUAGUGGAAUCAUCACUGAGGGGUCACAUGAUCGUGAGAUCAUUGACUUCUAUGGUCAGUUGAGAAGCAUCAUAGAGUUGCAGUACAACUCUAGUGGAGGCAUCCAUCGCUCGGUUGUCUUAUUUCGCUGUGGCUGGUUUGAGCUUGGUAGCAAGAAGAAGAGAGACUCCUUUGUCAAAUAUGAUGGCCACUUCAAAAGCAUCAACACUGGAAGGUGCUGGUAUAAGAGUGAUCCCUUUAUUCUAACAACACAAGCAACAAUGGUGUUUUAUCUGCCAGGCACUCUUUUGCACGGAAAAUGGCGAGUUGUGCAAAACUUUGAGCACAGACACUUGUGGAGUGUGACUGAAACUGAAGUGGAAAAGGGCCCCGGUGAUGGUGGACUAACAUACCAAGAUGAUGACUCUACGGAAGUUCCGUUGUAA